This is a non-coding RNA of Passer montanus (Eurasian tree sparrow), 537 nucleotides long. NCBI's taxonomy places the organism in Eukaryota, Metazoa, Chordata, Aves, Passeriformes, Passeridae. The record is from the annotation of a RefSeq genome assembly.
AUGGAAAGGUCAGGUGGAGGCGCCAAAUUCAUUAAUGAGUGGAUUGAGGGAAGGUUUGGGGAUGGGAGAGCGGCCGUGACCCUGCUGGAGUCCGGGGGGGACCUCCAGCCCCCCGGGGGGUCCCUGCGCCUCCUCUGCCGAGGCUCCGGGUUCAGUUUUGGCACUUAUGGCAUGCAGUGGAUCCGCCAGAGACCCGGGCAGGCGCUGGAGUGGCUCGCAGGGAUCAGCAACGGUGGUAGCACCGACUACGCGCCAUCAGUCAAGGGCCGGGUCAGGAUCUCCAGGGACAACGGGCAGAGCUCGGUGACGCUGACCAUGAACAACCUCAAGGACGAGGAUUCCGGAUCCUAUUUCUGUGCCAAAGCUGCUUAUGCUGGUACUUGGGGUGCUGCUGCUUAUGUUGAAGGUGCCAGGGGUGGAUCCCUGGCCCCAUCUCAGUGUCCCCACCUGUCCCCAUGCCCCAGACCCUUCCCCCAAACCUCAGCCCGUGGCCCUUUGUCUCAAGUCUCCCCCAUUUCCACCAAUGCUGAGCGCUGA